Molecule: ribosomal RNA, 380 nt
Filed under: uncultured eukaryote
Lineage: Eukaryota
Description: partial 18S ribosomal RNA
Rfam family: Eukaryotic small subunit ribosomal RNA
Source: RNAcentral
CAAUAGCGUAUAUUAAAGUUGUUGCAGUUAAAAAGCUCGUAGUUGGAUUUGUGGUGUACUUCGGCGGCCCGUCACUAUGUGAUGGAGCUUGCUGAAGUCGCCAUCCUUGGGUGGAUCCUGUGUGGCAUUAAGUUGUCGUGCAGGGGAUGCCCAUCGUUUACUGUGAAAAAAUUAGAGUGUUCAAAGCAGGCUUAUGCCGUUGAAUAUAUUAGCAUGGAAUAAUAAGAUAGGACCUUGGUACUAUUUUGUUGGUUUGCGCACCAAGGUAAUGAUUAAUAGGGACAGUUGGGGGUAUUCGUAUUUCAUUGUCAGAGGUGAAAUUCUCGGAUUUUUGAAAGACGAACUACUGCGAAAGCAUUUACCAAGGAUGUUUUCAUUAA